AGAACGGCAGUCAUGCUAUAUUCAGGCUGGGGCAUCCUGUCAACUUGUCAAAGGAACAACAAAAACACUGUGUAUCCGUGAAUGACGAUCUCGGCCAAGGUGGCUCAGAGCCCACUACAUUCAUCCCCUAGGACAUUCAUCAAGUUGAAUGCCUAAUCCUUGAAAACUGACGCCACCAAUUUGCUGAAGAGAAGCAUCUGUCUGUGGGAACCAUACACACAAUCAUCCAUGAACACCACUUGCACGAUAUAGGAAUUCGGCUGGGAGUUACUGCCAUAUCACC
This is a long non-coding RNA of Clarias gariepinus (North African catfish), 283 nucleotides long. RefSeq lists it as uncharacterized. The record is from RefSeq and is a predicted model, not a curated record. NCBI's taxonomy places the organism in Eukaryota, Metazoa, Chordata, Actinopteri, Siluriformes, Clariidae. The transcript is spliced from 3 exons.